UCGAGCGAAGCAUAAGAGAGGAAGUUUUAAAUGGAAUCUAUUAUGACUGAGCGGCGGACGGGUGAGUAACGCGUGGGGAACCUGCCCUAUACAGGGGGAUAACAGUUAGAAAUGACUGCUAAUACCGCAUAAGCGCACGGAGCCGCAUGGCGCUGUGUGAAAAACGAUAGUGGUAUAGGAGGGACCCGCGUCUGAUUAGGUAGUUGGCGGGGUAACGGCCCACCAAGCCGACGAUCAGUAGCCGACCUGAGAGGGUGACCGGCCACAUUGGGACUGAGACACGGCCCAAACUCCUACGGGAGGCAGCAGUGGGGAAUAUUGCACAAUGGGGGAAACCCUGAUGCAGCGACGCCGCGUGAGUGAAGAAGUAUUUCGGUAUGUAAAGCUCUAUCAGCAGGGAAGAAGAAGGACGGUACCUGAGUAAGAAGCCCCGGCUAACUACGUGCCAGCAGCCGCGGUAAUACGUAGGGGGCAAGCGUUAUCCGGAUUUACUGGGUGUAAAGGGAGCGUAGACGGCGGAGAAAGUCUGAAGUGAAAGCCCGCGGCUCAACCGCGGAAUGGCUUUGGAAACUUUUUUGCUGGAGUACCGGAGAGGUAAGCGGAAUUCCUAUUGUAGCGGUGAAAUGCGUAGAUAUUAAGAAGGAACACCAUUGGGCAAGGCGGCUUAAUGGACGGUAACUGACGUUGAGGCUCGAAAGCGUGGGGAGCAAACAGGAUUAGAUACCCUGGUAGUCCACGCGGUAAACGAUGAAUGCUAGGUGUUGGUGGACAAAGUCCAUCGGUGCCGUCGCAAACGCAGUAAGCAUUCCACCUGGGGAGUACGUUCGCAAGAAUGAAACUCAAAGGAAUUGACGGGGACCCGCACAAGCGGUGGAGCAUGUGGUUUAAUUCGAAGCAACGCGAAGAACCUUACCAAGUCUUGACAUCCCAAUGAAUGACAGGUAAAGCUGUCAGCCCUUCGGGGCAUUGGAGACAGGUGGUGCAUGGUUGUCGUCAGCUCGUGUCGUGAGAUGUUGGGUUAAGUCCCGCAACGAGCGCAACCCUUAUUGUCAGUAGCCAGCAGGUAGAGCUGGGCACUCUGAUGAGACUGCCAGGGAGAACCUGGAGGAAGGUGGGGAUGACGUCAAAUCAUCAUGCCCCUUAUGAUUUGGGCUACACACGUGCUACAAUGGCGUAAACAAAGAGAAGCGAGAGUGUGAACUGGAGCAAAGCUCAAAAAUAACGUCUCAGUUCGGAUUGCAGGCUGCAAUUCGCCUGCAUGAAGCUGGAAUCGCUAGUAA
This 1280-nucleotide ribosomal RNA is filed under the name uncultured bacterium. Its description in RNAcentral is "bacterial SSU rRNA". It matches the Rfam family "Bacterial small subunit ribosomal RNA", at positions 62 to 1341 of the family's 1533-position model. The record is from RNAcentral.